CCGAGUGUGAACGCUGAUGACUGCAAGAAGCGGUAGAAGCAGUUGUGCGAUGCAUAUGUGAAGUACAAAGGGAAAAAAACAUGCUAGUGGGUCUGCAGGUGGCAGCCAGAAAGAAUGGAGAUUAGCCCAUGUCUUCAUCUUUUUAGAUCCCUAAUUGCAGCCCAGAAGUACAAGUACUCUCCAGAGGGAUGAAGACAUAGAUUUCACCCAUGUGGGAGAUGAGGGAGCAUCUGAUGGAUCACCACAGCAAGCAUCAAGGCCUACCACACCCACACCCAUGCCCAGAUCAUCCUCUCCAUUUGAUUCAUGUCAGAGGUCUGCUACAGCCACACCACCGCAGCAACCAACCAGGUCUGCCACCCCCCACCACACCCCAGAGUUCAACAACUUUCAUCCGGGUCAGCUGCACCACAGACAAGCAGAAAGAGGAGGCAGGGAUCUUCAGGUGCUGUGGCUGUUGAGCAGCAGCUAUUUGAAACUCUGACAGUAGAUAAGGUCACCCCUCCCUUCCGUGUCCCAACCCGUGAAGAGACUUUAUGUUAACAGUUUUAUCCCCCGUGUGAACGAUCUGCCACUUGUGCUGCAGAAUCGCUUCCAGGCUCAAUUAUUACAUUUGGUUGAAACUUUGGAGGAGGAAGCCAAAGCUCUGUCCCAUCAACCACCACAACCAUCUAAUAUUUGGCAGCAACACACCACACAGCCAAAUCCUAGUUCUUUCCAGGGCCACACACCCCCGCCAACACAGCCUCAUUCGCACUCCACAUUUCAAACUGCCCAUCAUCACCAACCCCCGUCCCAACACCACCAACCCCCCUCCCAAAGUGGAGGUGCAAAGCGGCCAAGAUCAUUGUUGGAGGAACUUGAAGACCCCGACAUCCCUUAUUAUGAAGAUGUCUGACCAGAAAAAAAUUAAAGAAGGCUGAUAGAAAUUCUUAAAAAAAAAAAUGUAAAUAUAGUUCUAUUUCAUUGUUUUUGUGUAUGUACUUGUAGUCUUGGUUAAGAUUUUUUUUUUUAAGGUUUGCUGUGUGUGUGAUUUUUUUGUGAGUGGAAAUCAUAAUAUUUUUAA
This is a long non-coding RNA of Epinephelus fuscoguttatus (brown-marbled grouper), 1066 nucleotides long. RefSeq lists it as uncharacterized. The transcript has 3 exons. The record is from RefSeq and is a predicted model, not a curated record. NCBI's taxonomy places the organism in Eukaryota, Metazoa, Chordata, Actinopteri, Perciformes, Serranidae.